RNAcentral lists this ribosomal RNA (257 nucleotides) under uncultured bacterium. RNAcentral describes it as "partial 16S ribosomal RNA". It matches the Rfam family "Bacterial small subunit ribosomal RNA", at positions 524 to 776 of the family's 1533-position model. The record is from RNAcentral.
UACGUAGGGUGCGAGCGUUAAUCGGAAUUACUGGGCGUAAAGUGUGACGCAGGCGGCUCUGCAAGUCGAGUGUGAAAUCCCCGAGCUUAACUUGGGAAUUGCGCUCGAAACUAUGGAGCUGGAGUGUGGCAGAGGGAAGGUGGAAUUCCGACGUGUAGCGGUGAAAUGCGUAGAGAUGAUGGAGGAACACCGAUGGCGAAGGCAGCCUUCUGGGCCAACACUGACGCUCAUGCACGAAAGCGUGGGGAGCAAACAGG